ACAUCUUCAUCACAUCAGAUCAGCUUCUGAACUUCAGAUGUCUCUGCUGGGUAGGGCUUGUGGGAGAGCUGGGCUCCACAGCAGGGUUGGCCACGUGACCUCAUGCAGCCUGCUCUCCUGGUUCUCAGGCUUGCCUUCCAUCCUGCUGAUGAGGAAAGAAAAAGAUUUCCAAAAUCUGUAAUGAGAUAGGUUUGGGGUGAGGGUGCACAGCAAACACCCAUCACCUCAGAUAACUCAGGCAAAGAAACCAAUGCCAUGGAAUGUUCACUUCUCUCAUCAGAUGUCUGCUUACCUGAGCACUGGACUAGAGAUCUGGAUACUGGCUUAGUUAAGUGAUUGCUUUCCAAUCCUGAUUAAGAAGAUGUGGGAGUUCCCAUCGUGGCACAGUGGUUAAUGAAUCCGACUAAGAACCAUGAGGUUGAAGGUUCGAUCCCUGGCCUUGCUCAGUGGGUUAAGGAUCUGGCGUUUCCAUGAGCUGUGGUGUAGUUUGCAGACACGGCUCUGAUCCUGAGUUGCUGUGGCUCUGGCGUAGGCCAGUGGCUACAGCUCCGAUUCAACCCCUAGCCUGGGAACCUCCAUAUGCUGCAGAAGCGGCCCUAGAAAAGGCAAAAAGACAAAAAAAAAAAAAAAAAAAAAAAAAAAAAAAAGGAGAUGUGGUACAUAUACACAAUGGAAUAAAAAAGAACAAAACAAUGCCCUUUGCAGCAACAUGGAUGGAACUAGAAACUCUCAUACUAAGUGAAGUAAGUCAGAAGGAAGAAGACAAAUAUCAUAUGAUGUCACAUAUCUGGAAUCUAAUAUAUGGCACAAAUAAACCUAUCUACAGAAAAGAAACAAACUCAUGGACAUGGAGAAUAGACUUGUGGUUGUCAAGAGGGAGAGGGAGGGAAUGGGAGGGACUGGGAAUUUGGGGUUGGUAGAUGCAGACUAUUGCGUUUGGAAUGGAUAAGCAAUGAGGUUCUGCAGUUAUAGCCAAAGGAAUUAUAUCUGAUCAUGUGAUGGAACAUGAUGGAGGAUUAUGUGAAAAAAAAAGUAAUGUAUAUAUAUGUAUAACUGGGUCACUUUGCUGCAUGGCAGAAAUUGACAGACUAUUGUAAAUCAACUAUAGUAUUUUUUUUUUAAAAAAAGAAAGUGAUUUGUUUUCUACUGAAAAACUGUAAAGCUUCUUAUCUGGUAGAAUACAACUUAGCUACUUCAGAACAACUAGAUUAAACCCAUGUCCUUUCUAUGCUACAUCAUUUGCUUGCUGACUGUUGCAACUUUGCACAAUUAGUGCUGUCAGUUCUUAUGUGUGCUAUUCAAACCAUGGAUUUUAAUCAACUUCAGAUUCCAGGACUCAAGGGUUAAAGAGUCCCUUGAUCUCAGAAAAUCUUGUAAAUACUUUUGUAGUGGUGAGUCUAUAUACGACACAAUGCUCUAUCUCUCAAAACCAGAGCCAGUGGCUUUCAACAAGUCAAGUUACUCUACUUAUGAAAUAAAUGUAAGUGCAAAUUUAGUUUUGAAUAUUAUAUAAUUAAGAAUUCAUGUAUACAUUGAUUUAAGAACCAAUGUAUAGAUUACUUCCAAUCAAUACACAGAGGGAACUGACAAAUAGAGAUACCCUUCACUUCAAGAAGUGCUGAGUAAAAUAUAAGAUAAUAUGAUAUGAUGUAACAUGGGAUAAAUUAAUUUCUGAAUUCAAAAGCAUGGAAGAGAAAUCUGGAGGUACAUGAAUUGAGAGUGAACUUAAAGUCAGAACAGUGAGUGGGAGCUGAAGCUGAAUAGUGCACAGUUGCCUACAGAAGCAGGAUAUAAACCCUUAGGUGGAAGGAAGAAAGGCUGGGAUUUUCAUGGUUGGAAGAAGAGAAGAUGAGAUCUCAUAUUCCUAUAAAGCGAGUUGAAACUCACCUCCUCACAGAAGGCCAGGUGUCAGAGAUAUUCCAUCCAUGAGAUAGAUUGGAAAAUUUCUGUCUAAUAGUCUAGGAAUAAGCAUGUGAGUAGACCACAUUUUCUGAGCCAAAGGCUGAAUGAAAAAGUAUAACCUAAGAGAAAUCAGACCUCAAAUCUAAGUUGAGAGAAGGUGUCCCACCCUAAUUUACACUACCUGCACAAUGUUGAAACUUCAAGCAAGGAAACUAAUGUUUUUGACCACUGUUCCCACAGUGGGCGAUAUUCAGAGCACUCAGCCCUGAGAGAGUAAAAUGGAUGUUGAGAUCAUCUGGACUGAAUAUGUCUUUGAACCCUGUUACAGCCUCCAUAUAAACUUUAAGAUUCUGGCCAGUAGGUAGGGAGAUCUACUUAUCUUUCUUUCACCAACGACAAGCCUCGUAUGUGUUUCCUU
RNAcentral lists this long non-coding RNA (2320 nucleotides) under Sus scrofa (pig). RNAcentral describes it as "lncRNA (ENSSSCG00000058543.1, ENSSSCG00035057060.1)". Lineage: Eukaryota; Metazoa; Chordata; Mammalia; Artiodactyla; Suidae. The record is from RNAcentral.